GCUUAGUACGGCGAGUGAAGCGGCAAAAGCUCAAAUUUGAAAUCUGGUACCUUCGGUGCCCGAGUUGUAAUUUGGAGAGGGCAACUUUGGGGCCGUUCCUUGUCUAUGUUCCUUGGAACAGGACGUCAUAGAGGGUGAGAAUCCCGUGUGGCGAGGAGUGCGGUUCUUUGUAAAGUGCCUUCGAAGAGUCGAGUUGUUUGGGAAUGCAGCUCUAAGUGGGUGGUAAAUUCCAUCUAAAGCUAAAUAUUGGCGAGAGACCGAUAGCGAACAAGUACAGUGAUGGAAAGAUGAAAAGAACUUUGAAAAGAGAGUGAAAAAGUACGUGAAAUUGUUGAAAGGGAAGGGCAUUUGAUCAGACAUGGUGUUUUGUGCCCUCUGCUCCUUGUGGGUAGGGGAAUCUCGCAUUUCACUGGGCCAGCAUCAGUUUUGGUGGCAGGAUAAAUCCAUAGGAAUGUAGCUUGCCUCGGUAAGUAUUAUAGCCUGUGGGAAUACUGCCAGCUGGGACUGAGGACUGCGACGUAAGUCAAGGAUGCUGGCAUAAUGGUUAUAUGCCGCCCGUCUUGAAACACGGACCAAUUU
RNAcentral lists this ribosomal RNA (579 nucleotides) under Saccharomyces cerevisiae (brewer's yeast). RNAcentral's name for it is "eukaryotic LSU rRNA". It matches the Rfam family "Eukaryotic large subunit ribosomal RNA", at positions 78 to 672 of the family's 3401-position model. Lineage: Eukaryota; Fungi; Ascomycota; Saccharomycetes; Saccharomycetales; Saccharomycetaceae. The record is from RNAcentral.